RNAcentral lists this non-coding RNA (24 nucleotides) under Arabidopsis thaliana (thale cress). The record is from RNAcentral. Lineage: Eukaryota; Viridiplantae; Streptophyta; Magnoliopsida; Brassicales; Brassicaceae.
AGCGUAACCCGUGAGGCGAGCUGA